This 497-nucleotide ribosomal RNA is filed under the name uncultured bacterium. RNAcentral's name for it is "partial 16S ribosomal RNA". It matches the Rfam family "Bacterial small subunit ribosomal RNA", at positions 28 to 507 of the family's 1533-position model. The record is from RNAcentral.
GAUGAACGCUGGCGACGUGCCUAAUACAUGCAAGUCGAGCGAACAGAUGAGGAGCUUGCUCCUCUGACGUUAGCGGCGGACGGGUGAGUAACACGUGGAUAACCUACCUAUAAGACUGGGAUAACUUCGGGAAACCGGAGCUAAUACCGGAUAAUAUAUUGAACCGCAUGGUUCAAUAGUGAAAGACGGUUUUGCUGUCACUUAUAGAUGGAUCCGCGCCGCAUUAGCUAGUUGGUAAGGUAACGGCUUACCAAGGCAACGAUGCGUAGCCGACCUGAGAGGGUGAUCGGCCACACUGGAACUGAGACACGGUCCAGACUCCUACGGGAGGCAGCAGUAGGGAAUCUUCCGCAAUGGGCGAAAGCCUGACGGAGCAACGCCGCGUGAGUGAUGAAGGUCUUCGGAUCGUAAAACUCUGUUAUUAGGGAAGAACAAAUGUGUAAGUAACUAUGCACGUCUUGACGGUACCUAAUCAGAAAGCCACGGCUAACUACGUG